UGCUUGCAUCAUGAUUUACAUUUGAGUGAGUGGCGAACUGGUGAGUAACACGUGGGAAACCUGCCCAGAAGCGGGGGAUAACACCUGGAAACAGAUGCUAAUACCGCAUAACAACUUGGACCGCAUGGUCCGAGCUUGAAAGAUGGCUUCGGCUAUCACUUUUGGAUGGUCCCGCGGCGUAUUAGCUAGAUGGUGGGGUAACGGCUCACCAUGGCAAUGAUACGUAGCCGACCUGAGAGGGUAAUCGGCCACAUUGGGACUGAGACACGGCCCAAACUCCUACGGGAGGCAGCAGUAGGGAAUCUUCCACAAUGGACGAAAGUCUGAUGGAGCAACGCCGCGUGAGUGAAGAAGGGUUUCGGCUCGUAAAACUCUGUUGUUAAAGAAGAACAUAUCUGAGAGUAACUGUUCAGGUAUUGACGGUAUUUAACCAGAAAGCCACGGCUAACUACGUGCCAGCAGCCGCGGUAAUACGUAGGUGGCAAGCGUUGUCCGGAUUUAUUGGGCGUAAAGCGAGCGCAGGCGGUUUUUUAAGUCUGAUGUGAAAGCCUUCGGCUCAACCGAAGAAGUGCAUCGGAAACUGGGAAACUUGAGUGCAGAAGAGGACAGUGGAACUCCAUGUGUAGCGGUGAAAUGCGUAGAUAUAUGGAAGAACACCAGUGGCGAAGGCGGCUGUCUGGUCUGUAACUGACGCUGAGGCUCGAAAGUAUGGGUAGCAAACAGGAUUAGAUACCCUGGUAGUCCAUACCGUAAACGAUGAAUGCUAAGUGUUGGAGGGUUUCCGCCCUUCAGUGCUGCAGCUAACGCAUUAAGCAUUCCGCCUGGGGAGUACGGCCGCAAGGCUGAAACUCAAAGGAAUUGACGGGGGCCCGCACAAGCGGUGGAGCAUGUGGUUUAAUUCGAAGCUACGCGAAGAACCUUACCAGGUCUUGACAUACUAUGCAAAUCUAAGAGAUUAGACGUUCCCUUCGGGGACAUGGAUACAGGUGGUGCAUGGUUGUCGUCAGCUCGUGUCGUGAGAUGUUGGGUUAAGUCCCGCAACGAGCGCAACCCUUAUUAUCAGUUGCCAGCAUUAAGUUGGGCACUCUGGUGAGACUGCCGGUGACAAACCGGAGGAAGGUGGGGAUGACGUCAAAUCAUCAUGCCCCUUAUGACCUGGGCUACACACGUGCUACAAUGGAUGGUACAACGAGUUGCGAACUCGCGAGAGUAAGCUAAUCUCUUAAAGCCAUUCUCAGUUCGGAUUGUAGGCUGCAACUCGCCUACAUGAAGUCGGAAUCGCUAGUAAUCGCGGAUCAGCAUGCCGCGGUGAAUACGUUCCCGGGCCUUGUACACACCGCCCGUCACACCAUGAGAGUUUGUAACACCCAAAGUCGGUGGGGUAACCUUUUAGGAACCAGC
Molecule: ribosomal RNA, 1401 nt
Filed under: Lactiplantibacillus plantarum
Lineage: Bacteria; Bacillati; Bacillota; Bacilli; Lactobacillales; Lactobacillaceae
Description: bacterial SSU rRNA
Rfam family: Bacterial small subunit ribosomal RNA
Source: RNAcentral